GACGAACGCUGGCGGCGUGCUUAACACAUGCAAGUCGAACGGAAAGGCCCUGCUUUUGUGGGGUGCUCGAGUGGCGAACGGGUGAGUAACACGUGAGUAACCUGCCCUUGACUUUGGGAUAACUUCAGGAAACUGGGGCUAAUACCGGAUAGGAGCUCCUGCUGCAUGGUGGGGGUUGGAAAGUUUCGGCGGUUAGGGAUGGACUCGCGGCUUAUCAGCUUGUUGGUGGGGUAGUGGCUUACCAAGGCUUUGACGGGUAGCCGGCCUGAGAGGGUGACCGGCCACAUUGGGACUGAGAUACGGCCCAGACUCCUACGGGAGGCAGCAGUGGGGAAUAUUGCACAAUGGGCGGAAGCCUGAUGCAGCAACGCCGCGUGCGGGACGACGGCCUUCGGGUUGUAAACCGCUUUCGCCUGUGACGAAGCGUGAGUGACGGUAAUGGGUAAAGAAGCACCGGCUAACUACGUG
Molecule: ribosomal RNA, 468 nt
Filed under: uncultured bacterium
Lineage: Bacteria
Description: partial 16S ribosomal RNA
Rfam family: Bacterial small subunit ribosomal RNA
Source: RNAcentral